GGCAGGAACGAGAGAUGAGGGGGUCGGGAAGGAGAGAAAUAUAGAGCAAGAAAGAGAGGUCAUGAGCCCAUGGGCCCCUGAGUUCUUCAAAAAUUAAAUUUUGAAUUAAAGUUAUAAACUUGGAUUUUGUCACAAGGAUUUAUACAGGAUACUAACCUCCACAUCAAAACCUUCAAUCCAAAUCGAAAUUCCAUACGUAAAACCUUGAUUUUGGACAAAAUUAACUGAAUGGAUUAUUACUAAAAAAGACUAUCAAGAAAAAAACUUCCAACAAACCAAAAUCUGCAGAAGAAACACAGUGGAACCUGGAAAUACCAUCCAACACAAAACUGAGUUUCCCCCGGAGCACUUUAGGAAGAAACUCGACGUCAGGAAAACCAACGCUCCCGGGAGAGAUGGUGACAUUUACAAGGUUGAUUGGAGGUUUUGUCACGCCUGCUUUGACAGACUGGCCAGAGCUCAGGUCUCAACAGUUUGGCAAUUAUCCUCUAACACACACACACACACACACACACACACACACACA
Molecule: long non-coding RNA, 526 nt
Organism: Oncorhynchus tshawytscha (Chinook salmon)
Lineage: Eukaryota; Metazoa; Chordata; Actinopteri; Salmoniformes; Salmonidae
Exons: 3
Source: RefSeq, a predicted model, not a curated record